This 250-nucleotide ribosomal RNA is filed under the name uncultured bacterium. RNAcentral's name for it is "partial 16S ribosomal RNA". It matches the Rfam family "Bacterial small subunit ribosomal RNA", at positions 525 to 775 of the family's 1533-position model. The record is from RNAcentral.
ACGUAGGCGGCAAGCGUUGUCCGGAAUUAUUGGGCGUAAAGGGAGCGCAGGCGGGAAACUAAGCGGAUCUUAAAAGUGCGGGGCUCAACCCCGUGAGGGGGUCCGAACUGGUUUUCUUGAGUGCAGGAGAGGAAAGCGGAAUUCCCAGUGUAGCGGUGAAAUGCGUAGAUAUUGGGAAGAACACCAGUGGCGAAGGCGGCUUUCUGGACUGUAACUGACGCUAAGGCUCGAAAGCUAGGGUAGCGAACGG